This 353-nucleotide unclassified non-coding RNA is filed under the name soil metagenome. RNAcentral's name for it is "partial contains 5.8S ribosomal RNA, internal transcribed spacer 2, and large subunit ribosomal RNA". The stretch from base 1 to 120 matches the Rfam family "5.8S ribosomal RNA", at positions 35 to 154 of the family's 154-position model. The record is from RNAcentral.
GAUGAAGAACGCAGCGAAAUGCGAUAAGUAAUGUGAAUUGCAGAAUUCAGUGAAUCAUCGAAUCUUUGAACGCACAUUGCGCCCGCCAGUAUUCUGGCGGGCAUGCCUGUUCGAGCGUCAUUACAACCCUCAGGCCCCCGGGCCUGGCGUUGAGGAUCGGCGGAAGCCCCCUGCGGGCACAACGCCGUCCCCCAAAUACAGUGGCGGUCCCGCCGCAGCUUCCAUUGCGUAGUAGCUAACACCUCGCAACUGGAGAGCGGCGCGGCCACGCCGUAAAACACCCAACUUCUGAAUGUUGACCUCGAAUCAGGUAGGAAUACCCGCUGAACUUAAGCAUAUCAAUAAGCGGAGGA